AUAAAAAUUUGUGAUUUUUAAAAUUUAUUUUUAAUUUAUUUUACAUAUAAAUUUUAGUGUUAAUUUUUAAUUAUUUUAAUAAUAAUUAAUUUAAUUUGUAGUAAUUAAAAUUAAAAAUUUAAGAAAUUAAGAUUUAGUAAUAUUAAAAUUAUUAACAAAUUUUGUGCCAGCAGUUGCGGUUAUACAAAAAUUAAAAUAAAUUUUUUCAGUUAUAAUUAAUAAUAAUAAUUUAAAUUAAAUAUUAAAUUAUUAAGUGAAAUUUUAAUUUAAUUAAAAUUUAUAUUUUUUUUAUGAUUUAAUAAAUUUUGUAAAUAAACUAGGAUUAGAUACCCUAUUAUAAAAAAAAAUAUAAUACUAAAAUAUUAAAUAUUUUAUUAUUGAAACUUAAGUAAUUUGGCGGUAUUUUAGUUCAUUUAGAGGAAUCUGUUUAAUAAUUGAUAAUCCACGAAUAAAUUUACUUAAUUUAUUAUUUUAUAUAUCGUUGUUAAAAAAAUAUUUUUAGAUAAUAAUAAUAUUUAAAAUUUUUUAUUAUAAAUUAAUUCAGAUCAAGAUGUAGAUUAUAGUUAAGAAUAAAAUGGAUUACAAUAAAUUUAUUUAAAUGAAUAUUGUUUUGAAAUAAAUAAAUAAAGGUGGAUUUAAAUGUAAUUUUAUUUAAUUUAUUAAAAUGAUUAAUAAUUAAAAUAUGUACAUAUUGCCCGUCACUUUCAUUUAAAAAUUGGAAUAAGUCGUAACAAAGUAGAAGUACUGGAAAGUGUUUCUAGAAAGAA
Molecule: non-coding RNA, 767 nt
Filed under: Zinaida jigongi
Lineage: Eukaryota; Metazoa; Arthropoda; Insecta; Lepidoptera; Hesperiidae
Source: RNAcentral